AAUAUUUACAUUUUUUACAGAUAGCAGUGAAGGUUUUCCAUACAAAUUUGAUUGUUGCCACUGAGAAAAGGAGAAGUAAACACGGGCAAGUUAAAGCUUUAAAUCCAUAGUCCAGCAAGUUCUCAUAAUAUAUGUGAUAUCUUUUAAAUUUAUGGAAUUGGUUUUGCCUUUCCAAGUACACUGCGUAUUUCUUAACAUUUUUAACAAAGUAAUUCGGAUUCUAAAAUCUAGCGUCUUGGAUCAUUAAAACUUUAGCUUAGGAACUGCAUUUGCUGACUGCUGCUGCUGCUUCUUUAUUCUUCUACUUUGCUUCUUCUUGUUAUUGGCAUUGUUGUUGGGAGCAGAGCGGUGUUUGCCACUUGGCAGGCGACUGAAAAACUUUUCAUUUUACAACAACUGCUGCAACCGAAUGCGAACUGUGAACCCAAACCGGAAGUGAAGGCGGACAGAGGCGUAGUGCGGUGUGGUGUCGGGAGUAGGCAAGUGUAAAAGAAAUAAACGGACUUAAAAUAGGAAAAGUCAACAUGAGCUCACAAGGCGAAAAGGCGGCGCAAUGUCCUGACAUACUACAACAGGAGGACAACGCGCACACUGGCUAGGGGCUAAGUGCAAACACAAAGAUGAGAUUUCUUCCAUCCACAUCCUCAGCUCCCUCAACUAAUACUUGUUUUAAGGGGGUGGGGGUGUGGGGAGGUCACAAAAGCGUAACGGCGCUCAAAAUGACUGACACGGCUUGCUGGUCACAUGGUCAAGAGCGCGCAGCGAGCCGUGGCUAGAAAGUACACACACCAGCUCCAGCACACACACACACACACACAUACUGAGAGACAAUACGAAAUGAAAUUCCAUCGCUGUUCCCCCCAGUAGAACAUUUUGUAUCUGGGCUUAGUUGUUUUAAACUUUAUUGUUUACGCUUGUGAUCAGCAGUGCUGCCGACGUCAACGUCGCCAUUUUGUUGACUGCCGCCAUUGAUGCUGCCUGCCUGCCGUUUGCUGCUUCUUCUUCUUUAUCUCCUACAGCUACUUCGUGCUCUGCUUCUUGUUCAGCUCGCACUUUGGACCAUUGUGUGGCUCUAAAACAUAAACGGAAGCGAUUUAUGGCGCAAACACAAUGAACGAGUCAGCAGCAGCAACAACAAUAACAAACAACACAACAAACAGCAGCAAACAACACACAAGAAAAUGACGCACAACAAAGGACACGGAUACGGUCAGCGCAACAAUUUGUGUAGUGUUGACCAGCAUCACUCUUCAGGCUCCUACAGCUACACAUCCCUAGUACUCCUCGCUGUCCUGGCAGCUCAUAAAAAAUACAAACAAACGGACGUCAACUCAGAUUUAAUGCGGGGUUUGGGCAGUUGGGAAGUUACGAAACAUGCUCCAAAUUCCGCCAAAAACUAGCUGAACAGCAUUUUGCCGCGUUUUCAAAAUGGAAAUCAUUAUAUUUAUUGAUUAACUUAAAUACAUUUGUCAGUUAUGCUGUUUCUUUUUAAUAAAUGAAAAUAAACUCCGCAGUAUCUGCACAAAAAUUCAA
Long non-coding RNA from Drosophila virilis, 1533 nucleotides. RefSeq lists it as uncharacterized. The record is from RefSeq and is a predicted model, not a curated record. NCBI's taxonomy places the organism in Eukaryota, Metazoa, Arthropoda, Insecta, Diptera, Drosophilidae.